UACGGAGGGUGCAAGCGUUGUUCGGAAUUAUUGGGCGUAAAGCGCGCGCAGGCGGCCUGGACAGUCCAGGGGUGAAAUGCCGGGGCUCAACCCCGCUGCAUGCCCAGGAUACUACCAGGCUGGAGACACGUAGAGGCAAGCGGAAUUCCGGGUGUAGCGGUGGAAUGCGUAGAGAUCCGGAAGAACACCGGAGGCGAAGGCGGCUCACUGGACUGGUACUGACGCUGAGGUGCGAAAGCGUGGGGAGCAAACAGG
This 255-nucleotide ribosomal RNA is filed under the name uncultured bacterium. RNAcentral's name for it is "partial 16S ribosomal RNA". It matches the Rfam family "Bacterial small subunit ribosomal RNA", at positions 524 to 776 of the family's 1533-position model. The record is from RNAcentral.